CUGGCUCAGGAUGAACGCUAGCGACAGGCUUAACACAUGCAAGUCGAGGGGCAUCACGGGAGUAGCAAUACAACUGGUGGCGACCGGCGCACGGGUGAGUAACGCGUAUGCAACCUACCUAUCAGAGGGGAAUAACCCGGCGAAAGUCGGACUAAUACCGCAUAAAACAGGGGCACCGCAUGGUGAUAUUUGUUAAAGAAAUUCGCUGAUAGAUGGGCAUGCGUUCCAUUAGGUAGUUGGUGAGGUAACGGCUCACCAAGCCGACGAUGGAUAGGGGAACUGAGAGGUUGGUCCCCCACACUGGUACUGAGACACGGACCAGACUCCUACGGGAGGCAGCAGUGAGGAAUAUUGGUCAAUGGGCGGGAGCCUGAACCAGCCAAGUCGCGUGAAGGGAAAAGAAGGAUCUAUGGUUCGUAAACUUCUUUUGCAGGGGAAUAAAGUGCAGGACGUGUCCUGUUUUGUAUGUACCCUGAGAAUAAGGAUCGGCUAACUCCGUGCCAGCAGCAGC
RNAcentral lists this ribosomal RNA (511 nucleotides) under uncultured bacterium. RNAcentral's name for it is "bacterial SSU rRNA". It matches the Rfam family "Bacterial small subunit ribosomal RNA", at positions 19 to 518 of the family's 1533-position model. The record is from RNAcentral.